This 600-nucleotide long non-coding RNA is filed under the name Junco hyemalis (dark-eyed junco). Its description in RNAcentral is "lncRNA (ENSJHYG00000017856.1)". The record is from RNAcentral. Lineage: Eukaryota; Metazoa; Chordata; Aves; Passeriformes; Passerellidae.
AUGAUACAAGGUCUUUGCGUGCACAUAAACAGUAUCAGGGGAGGGCAGAGCUUAGAGGAAGGAACACAAGGCAACAGUUUUACAUUAUGGACCCGCUGCCACCCAACUUGCUAUGCAGAGCGAUGUGCUUUCCUGCAAAGGGCUGCGGCAGACGGGUGAUGUUGGCUGGAAAAAGGGGCUCACUUUGAAGUGAUUCAGGCCCUGGGUUGUCCAGAUUCAGCAUCAUUGUGCUCUCUCAGGGAAAUGUAAUCUAAUUUUAGGAAGAGGAGGAAACAAAGUAAACGUGACUGAACUGCGCUGCACCUCCGCACCGUCCGAGACCGCGUCCCCGGGAAUAUCCCUGGGCAACUUUCUUCAUUUUCCUUCUUUUUUAGACACCAAUUUUGGUGCAUACUAGCCAAGAGAGGAAAAAAAGGGUGGUAGUUCUGCCUGUGAAAUGAUAUGCUUUGGUGGAUGGCCCAAACUAACUACUGCUUGCAAACCCCAGAUUAAAAAAAGAAGACUGAUGUAAUUUUAAAGCCAGCCAACUGCCUUAGUGACUGUAUCAGAAGAUUAAAAACAAAGGUUUCAUUGAAGCACUACCUCCCACUGUGCAGCUGA